CAUGCAAGUCGAGCGGCAGCACGGGAGCUUGCUCCUGGUGGCGAGCGGCGGACGGGUGAGUAAUGCCUAGGAAUCUGCCUGAUAGUGGGGGAUAACGUUCGGAAACGGACGCUAAUACCGCAUACGUCCUACGGGAGAAAGUGGGGGACCUUCGGGCCUCACGCUAUCAGAUGAGCCUAGGUCGGAUUAGCUAGUUGGUGGGGUAAUGGCUCACCAAGGCGACGAUCCGUAACUGGUCUGAGAGGAUGAUCAGUCACACUGGAACUGAGACACGGUCCAGACUCCUACGGGAGGCAGCAGUGGGGAAUAUUGGACAAUGGGCGCAAGCCUGAUCCAGCCAUGCCGCGUGUGUGAAGAAGGUCUUCGGAUUGUAAAGCACUUUAAGUUGGGAGGAAGGGCUGUGCACGAAUACUGUGCAGUUUUGACGUUACCGACAGAAUAAGCACCGGCUAACUCUGUGCCAGCAGCCGCGGUAAUACAGAGGGUGCAAGCGUUAAUCGGAAUUACUGGGCGUAAAGCGCGCGUAGGUGGUUC
Molecule: ribosomal RNA, 534 nt
Filed under: Pseudomonas sp. Z4NS-140
Lineage: Bacteria; Pseudomonadati; Pseudomonadota; Gammaproteobacteria; Pseudomonadales; Pseudomonadaceae
Description: bacterial SSU rRNA
Rfam family: Bacterial small subunit ribosomal RNA
Source: RNAcentral